This 233-nucleotide unclassified non-coding RNA is filed under the name plant metagenome. RNAcentral's name for it is "partial contains small subunit ribosomal RNA, internal transcribed spacer 1, and 5.8S ribosomal RNA". The record is from RNAcentral.
UUUCCGUAGGUGAACCUGCGGAAGGAUCAUUACUGAGUGGGGGCCCUCUGGGUCCAACCUCCCACCCGUGUUUAUUAUACCUUGUUGCUUCGGUGAGCCCGCCUCACGGCCGCCGGGGGGCAUCUGCCCCCGGGCCCGCGCCCACCGAAGACACCUAGAACUCUGUAUGAAGAUUGCAGUCUGAGCAAAAACUAAAUAAGUUAAAACUUUCAACAACGGAUCUCUUGGUUCCG